This is an RNA transcript of Oncorhynchus kisutch (coho salmon), 3038 nucleotides long. It is a transcript of the gene named migration and invasion enhancer 1-like, with no coding region annotated. NCBI's taxonomy places the organism in Eukaryota, Metazoa, Chordata, Actinopteri, Salmoniformes, Salmonidae. The transcript has 8 exons. The record is from RefSeq and is a predicted model, not a curated record.
GCUUUUUCUCGCUCCUCCCACCUCUGGUUACACCAACCAAAAGCAUUUCUCUGCUCAUACGCUUCAGCAAGCUAGUUAGCCUUUUUAGCAUCUGUGUUACACAAUCGUGUCUGUAGGUCAAACCUGAAUCAGCUUAUCGAGAAGAAGGAACGAGCAAGCUAGCUAGUUUCUUCAACAGCCAUGGGUGUGCAAGUCAAAGUCGAAUACUGCGGUGGAUGAGGGUACGAGCCCCGCUAUCAGGAGCUCGCGCGGGUUGUCACCGCGGAAUUCACUGAAGCGGAAGUGUCGGGCUUCGUAGGAAGGCAAGGCAGUUUUGAGAUUGAGAUCAAUGGGCAAGUAGUUUUCUCCAAGCUCGAAACAAGCGGCUUCCCAUAUGAAGACGACAUCAUGGAUGCUAUACAGAAAGCCCAUGAUGGCAAGCCAGUGGAGAAGAUCACCAAGAGCCGCCCGCCUUGUGUCAUCCUGUAGAUCUCCUCUCCCUCUAUUCUCCAACCCUGCCCUCUCCUGACAGCAGCAUGCUGAAGACAGGACAGUGUGCAUCCAUCACUGCCACUGUCAUUACUCACUCAGCCUUUGCACUAACCGGGCAUGAGGGUGACACGCAACUCUCUGUUGAAACUACACUAGCAGAGUUGGACUAAGACCACUGUCUUUGAUUUAGAGUACAACCUGUCGUAAGGUUUUGUUGUGCCUUCUCUCUCCCCUCAUUCUCUGCUCCCAUUGAGGUGUUCCAGGACUUAUAUGAUUACUGUAGCCCAAAGCUGAAAGUUUAUAGUAUGAUGACUCCAGUCCUGGCAGCUCCUAUGUUAUGGGAUCAGAGAAAUGGAGGAGACCGUAAGAUCGAGGGGCAGACGGGUUGAGGGGGGCACCCUAUUUUAUUCCGAAAGCCUCAUUGCCUGGCAGACAGUUACUGCCUGAUUGUUCUAAUUCCUCUCAAAUAAUACAGCACCAUCAUUGGCCAGACAUAAACAAAGUUUUGAUGAACGUAAAAGAUAAAUGUUAUUGAGUACCAAAAGCAAGAAGGGAAGGAGCUCAAUUAUUUACAACCCUCUGUGAAAAUAAUUCUAUCACCUAGCUCUAAGCAUCAUACGCCCUGUUUCACAACAUGUAUUCUGUACCCUACUAUGAUGAUGAAUGUGCUGCUUGAACCUGUCAAUGCAAUGUUUGUCAAUGUAUUUAAUAAGAUGUAUUCUAAAGUGGAGACACUUUAAUCAAGGUUGAAGCUUAGACUUAAUGUUUCUUUUUGUGUUCAGUUCUGUCACUACAACUUUUAUGUAUCUUUAAAACUAGUGUAUCAAUGUCGGAACUUGGAUUUAAUCAGGUUUUUUUUCUUCAGUUAUGUCCAUCUAUAGCUAAUCUGCCUGGAACAUGAGAAGCUGAAACAUGAGAAACACCGUAGUAGCCAAACCUCUUGUGAAUAUACAAUUGUAUACUGUCACUGAAUCAUAGAUAAUGCAUUUUCAUUGACUCAGUGGCUUUUAUAUAUGAUCAGCUGGACUGUUAGUAGAGCUGACCUUGCAGGUAGAUAAAUCGUAAGUUGUUUUGAAAGCCAUCUCUCACUGGUCUGUCUAUCACUAACGACACCUCAUCACCCCCUGUUUAUGCACACAGUUUGAAUAUCAUCUCUGAAAACAUUUUUUUUCUGUUGCCCAGGGCUGUCAAGUAUGAUACCCAUUAGGAGAACUUCUAUCACAAAAUAAAGUUAUGGAUUAUUUAACUCUAUAAAUAUGUUAGUAUUGUCUUAACGUGUCAUGCUCAAAACUACUUCACAUUUUUUUCACUUCUGUAAUAACUACUCAACUCCAUUAGAAUGGAGAACAUGUCAGUUCUAAAGGGCUAUGUACCAACAUAUUACCAUAUUAUUAGAGUAUUGGCUCAUUCACAGGUCUGAACUCUCCAUACAGUACAUCCCCAUGGCAACAUAGCACCUCAGGUGUGUUACUCAAGUCUCAGUAAUUACUCUCUUGUUGAUGCUCACAUUCAGACAUCGAAUAACACUGUUAUGUGAUCAUUCUAUAGGGGGAACAGCUUUAGGCUACACCCACGCUGUAAUGUCAACAGAGCCAGCCAUGACAACUGCAGUAGGAAGAGAAAAGCCUUUGGAGCAAGAAGCAUCUUGUCAAAACACCUUUACAUCAGCAAAGCACAAUCAAGAAAGGAGUGAGGAGAAGAAUCUGGAUCAAAAGCCAUGGGUGUGGUGCAGAUCAGAGUGGAGUACUGUGGCCAAUGAGGGUACGAGCCCCGCUACAAGAAACUUCAGCAGGCUGUCGCUGUGGAGUUUCCUGGGGCGGAGGUGUCAGGCUUUGUAGGACGAAAGGCAGUUUUGAGUUGGAGAUCAACGGGGAGCUGGUCUUCUCCAAGCUGGAAACAGGUGGCUUCCCCAUGGAAAAGGAUGUCAGGGACGCUCUCCAGAACACCUAUGAUGGAAAAGUGGACCAGAAAUCGCCCACCUUGUGUCAUCCUGUAGAUCUCAAUUCCCUCCAUCCUACAACAGUUAUCACUCAGACCAAUGCUGCUGUCUGUCACCACUCACACAGCAGAGACUAAUUUCUGUUCCUUCUCUCUCUCUGCUCCCAUUGAAGUGUUCCAGGACUUUAUAUGAUUACUGUAGACCAAAGCUGAAAGGUUUAUAGUAUGAUGACCCCAGUCCUGGCAGCUCCUAUGUUAUGGGAUCAGAGAAAGGGAGGACAUGGGAAGACUGGUUGGGUGGAACUUCCUUAUUCCAGAUCUUCUAUGCCUAUCUGUUUACAGCACCACCAUCAGUCAGAUAAACAAUCAAUUUGAGCUGCUGAAGCCUGUCUGUGUAUUGAUCUCCCAUAUUGCAACUGAUGCUUUUUAAUUAGCUUUAAGUAGAACUCGUCAGUUGAGUAGAUUAAUUGCUAGUUAUGGUAAUGAAGGCCACCACCCACUGGUCUGUCUGCUACACUAACGAGACAUCAGCCCAAUUAUCAUUGCUGAAUACUGUUAUUGAUUGCUGAUGACAAUGUUUGAUACCCACUGGGAGGACUUCAAUCUCAAAAUAAAAUAAAAUGAAAUGG